Molecule: ribosomal RNA, 301 nt
Filed under: uncultured bacterium
Lineage: Bacteria
Description: partial 16S ribosomal RNA
Rfam family: Bacterial small subunit ribosomal RNA
Source: RNAcentral
CAGUAGCCGCGGGAAUACGAAGGGGGCUAGCGUUGCUCGGAAUGACUGGGCGUAAAGGGCGCGUAGGCGGCGGCCAAAGUCAGGCGUGAAAUUCCCGGGCUCAACCUGGGGGCUGCGUUUGAUACUUGGUUGCUUGAGUGGGGAAGAGGGUCGUGGAAUUCCCAGUGUAGAGGUGAAAUUCGUAGAUAUUGGGAAGAACACCGGUGGCGAAGGCGGCGACCUGGUCCUUUACUGACGCUGAGGCGCGAAAGCGUGUGGAGCAAACAGGAUUAGAUACCCCCGUAGUCCCUGUCUCUUAUAC